Molecule: long non-coding RNA, 313 nt
Organism: Misgurnus anguillicaudatus (oriental weatherfish)
Lineage: Eukaryota; Metazoa; Chordata; Actinopteri; Cypriniformes; Cobitidae
Source: RefSeq, a predicted model, not a curated record
AUAAUGUACCUUAUGUUGGUGCUUCCCGAAGAAGAGAGAAAGCACGAAGUUGAAGUACUAAAGUUGUUUACCACGUCGGAUUACAGAAAGAACAUAAAGUGGAAGUUCAUAAGGAACAUUGGUCCAGCAUGGUCCUGGGUAGAGAGUCACAGCAAGAUAUUCCUUGGAGAGGUGAUGGAGCCUGUCUUUCUCCAGAUGGAUUUGUUUUCGAAUAUCUGGAGGAUCUGAACACGUUUAUUUCAAACUGUUAUGAGGAACAAGGCCUGUACGGGCCAUGAAAUAUUCUUGUUCAAUAAUAAAUACAAGAAAUGCC